GCCAGGCGCAGUGGCGCAUGCCUGUCAUCCCAGAGGAUCGGGAGGCUGAGGCAGGCGGAUCACAAGUUCAAAGCCAGCCUUAGAAAUGGUGAGGCCCUAAGCAACUCAGUGAGACCCUGUCUCUA
RNAcentral lists this small RNA (125 nucleotides) under Marmota monax (woodchuck). The record is from RNAcentral. Lineage: Eukaryota; Metazoa; Chordata; Mammalia; Rodentia; Sciuridae.